UGUGUGUGUGUGUGUGUGUGUGUGUGUGUGUGUGUGUGUGUGUGUUCAAGAGGAGUGCCCUGAGUAUGCACUUGAGGUUUAGGGUGUAAAAAUGCUCCUUGAGUAAACGGGAAUUGCUGGUUCAGAGACACGACAAAGCCUUUGGGUUUCUUGUGAAUGGAACGUUAAAGAAACAUGGAACAGUUUGUGAGCAAUGGAGCAAAUGACCGAGCGAGAGCCGGUGUAUGAGUCAGGACCCUGGGGCUGAAAUAUCUAAGUGCACAUGAGGCAAGUUGAGACACAGCCGGAGAUGCAGAACGGUGGGAGGGAGACGGAGAUUACGAGGGAACGACAAACCAAAUGCCAACAGGGAGGAAUACCACAGGGAGGAAGGGAAAGCUCACGAGGAGGACCUCUUUCUUCACCGGCCUAAUGAUGGCCUCCUUCACUUCCAUCAACACCUCUUUGGACCGCAUGUUGAAAGUUCUCAUGAAGUUUCAACAUGUUUUCAUGAAGAUACCAAGUCCAAUGCUUGGAAACAACUCAAGACCUUUUAUCUCAUUAAUUUGUCACGAAAUAAUAGGGAAACAUAAAACUGCUUAUCAGUCAAUUGUCCAAUUACUUUUGAGCCUGUGAAAAUGGAUGGAUUCUGUAAAAAAAAAAAAAAAAAAGGCUGUUAAUGCAAAAUUUUUAUUAAACCCUUUGAAUUAAUACUGAAAGUCUACACUUCAAUCACACCUCGAUUUCAUUUCAAAUCCGUUGUGCUGGUGUACAGAGGCAACAUUAUGAAACUUGUGUCAGGGUCCAAAUACUUAUGGACCUGCCUGUACACAGUUGUGUGUGUCAGGCUGGACUGAACAACUUCCACUGCAUUAUUCCAGAGUUUUGUUUGAAACAGUGAGUUGUAAGUAAAUGAGAUCAUCUCUUGCAAAUGGGGCUUGGGGGAAAAGGUCUUGUACUUGGUGUAAGGUCUGCAAUGUAAGGCCUCAUUCUAUAGGCAGAAGUAGGAGGUUCAAUUAUUCAUGAAAAAUAUCAGACUCUAGUGAAAGCUAGAAUUCUGUAUUGUAAGACUAACAUGGUUUUAACAAUUUUUUAACUACUAUAUUUCGCAGGAUUCCCAUUGGCCAGUUGCACCGACACCUGACUGUAAUCCUUAAUACAUUUUAUUUUCUCUGUCAACUCAUGAUUAUGCUGUUGUGUUCAGGCCACAAAAUAUAAUAAUUGGUUUUCUUACCUUAAUUUCAGUAGAAUAAAAUAGCUGUGCAAGAUUUCUUUGCUUAUUUUUUUCUUUGAUUGCAGAUGA
Molecule: long non-coding RNA, 1282 nt
Organism: Ictalurus punctatus (channel catfish)
Lineage: Eukaryota; Metazoa; Chordata; Actinopteri; Siluriformes; Ictaluridae
Exons: 3
Source: RefSeq, a predicted model, not a curated record